Molecule: unclassified non-coding RNA, 324 nt
Filed under: Hevea brasiliensis (rubber tree)
Lineage: Eukaryota; Viridiplantae; Streptophyta; Magnoliopsida; Malpighiales; Euphorbiaceae
Source: RNAcentral
GGACUUGCUCACAAGGUUCUUCAAUGGUAUUUAUGCAGGAUGGAAGGAUGGUUUUCUGCUGAUGCCAACACUAUCUCACUUAAAGGCUGGGAUCAGGAAGAACUACUCCCUGGUGGGCAUGGACUUAUGGUCAGGGGCUACCUACCUGUUAUUCACACACUAGCUAAGGGUAUUGACAUCCGCCUAGGUCAUAGGGUUACAAAAAUUUCGAGACAAUAUACUGGAGUGAAGAUAACAGUAGAAAAUGGAAAAACAUUCACAGCUGAUGCUGCUAUUGUUGCUGUUCCUCUUGGGGUGCUUAAAGCAAAAGUCAUUAAGUUUGAG